RNAcentral lists this ribosomal RNA (1425 nucleotides) under Staphylococcus aureus. Its description in RNAcentral is "bacterial SSU rRNA". It matches the Rfam family "Bacterial small subunit ribosomal RNA". Lineage: Bacteria; Bacillati; Bacillota; Bacilli; Caryophanales; Staphylococcaceae. The record is from RNAcentral.
AGAGUUUGAUCCUGGCUCAGGAUGAACGCUGGCGGCGUGCCUAAUACAUGCAAGUCGAGCGAACGGANCCGCAUGGUUCAAAAGUGAAAGACGGUCUUGCUGUCACUUAUAGAUGGAUCCGCGCUGCAUUAGCUAGUUGGUAAGGUAACGGCUUACCAAGGCAACGAUGCAUAGCCGACCUGAGAGGGUGAUCGGCCACACUGGAACUGAGACACGGUCCAGACUCCUACGGGAGGCAGCAGUAGGGAAUCUUCCGCAAUGGGCGAAAGCCUGACGGAGCAACGCCGCGUGAGUGAUGAAGGUCUUCGGAUCGUAAAACUCUGUUAUUAGGGAAGAACAUAUGUGUAAGUAACUGUGCACAUCUUGACGGUACCUAAUCAGAAAGCCACGGCUAACUACGUGCCAGCAGCCGCGGUAAUACGUAGGUGGCAAGCGUUAUCCGGAAUUAUUGGGCGUAAAGCGCGCGUAGGCGGUUUUUUAAGUCUGAUGUGAAAGCCCACGGCUCAACCGUGGAGGGUCAUUGGAAACUGGAAAACUUGAGUGCAGAAGAGGAAAGUGGAAUUCCAUGUGUAGCGGUGAAAUGCGCAGAGAUAUGGAGGAACACCAGUGGCGAAGGCGACUUUCUGGUCUGUAACUGACGCUGAUGUGCGAAAGCGUGGGGAUCAAACAGGAUUAGAUACCCUGGUAGUCCACGCCGUAAACGAUGAGUGCUAAGUGUUAGGGGGUUUCCGCCCCUUAGUGCUGCAGCUAACGCAUUAAGCACUCCGCCUGGGGAGUACGACCGCAAGGUUGAAACUCAAAGGAAUUGACGGGGACCCGCACAAGCGGUGGAGCAUGUGGUUUAAUUCGAAGCAACGCGAAGAACCUUACCAAAUCUUGACAUCCUUUGACAACUCUAGAGAUAGAGCCUUCCCCUUCGGGGGACAAAGUGACAGGUGGUGCAUGGUUGUCGUCAGCUCGUGUCGUGAGAUGUUGGGUUAAGUCCCGCAACGAGCGCAACCCUUAAGCUUAGUUGCCAUCAUUAAGUUGGGCACUCUAAGUUGACUGCCGGUGACAAACCGGAGGAAGGUGGGGAUGACGUCAAAUCAUCAUGCCCCUUAUGAUUUGGGCUACACACGUGCUACAAUGGACAAUACAAAGGGCAGCGAAACCGCGAGGUCAAGCAAAUCCCAUAAAGUUGUUCUCAGUUCGGAUUGUAGUCUGCAACUCGACUACAUGAAGCUGGAAUCGCUAGUAAUCGUAGAUCAGCAUGCUACGGUGAAUACGUUCCCGGGUCUUGUACACACCGCCCGUCACACCACGAGAGUUUGUAACACCCGAAGCCGGUGGAGUAACCUUUUAGGAGCUAGCCGUCGAAGGUGGGACAAAUGAUUGGGGUGAAGUCGUAACAAGGUAGCCGUAUCGGAAGGUGCGGCUGGAUCACCU